This 253-nucleotide ribosomal RNA is filed under the name uncultured bacterium. RNAcentral describes it as "partial 16S ribosomal RNA". It matches the Rfam family "Bacterial small subunit ribosomal RNA", at positions 524 to 776 of the family's 1533-position model. The record is from RNAcentral.
UACGUAGGGUGCGAGCGUUGUCCGGAAUUAUUGGGCGUAAAGAGCUUGUAGGCGGUUUGUCGCGUCUGCUGUGAAAAUCCGGGGCUCAACCCCGGACUUGCAGUGGGUACGGGCAGACUAGAGUGUGGUAGGGGAGGCUGGAAUUCCUGGUGUAGCGGUGAAAUGCGCAGAUAUCAGGAGGAACACCGGUGGCGAAGGCGGGUCUCUGGGCCGAUACUGACGCUGAGGAGCGAAAGCGUGGGGAGCGAACAGG